This 253-nucleotide ribosomal RNA is filed under the name uncultured bacterium. RNAcentral describes it as "partial 16S ribosomal RNA". It matches the Rfam family "Bacterial small subunit ribosomal RNA", at positions 524 to 776 of the family's 1533-position model. The record is from RNAcentral.
AACGUAGGAGACAAACGUUAUCCGGAGUUACUGGGCGUAAAGGGCGUGUAGGCGGUCUGUUAAGUCUGGCGUGAAAGCUCUCGGCUAAACCGGGAGAGGUCGUUGGAUACUGGCAGACUAGAGGACGGUAGAGGCGUGUGGAAUUCCGGGUGUAGUGGUGAAAUGCGUAGAGAUCCGGAGGAACACCAGUGGCGAAGGCGACACGCUGGGCCGUACCUGACGCUAAAGCGCGACAGCAUGGGGAGCGAACGGG